This 748-nucleotide ribosomal RNA is filed under the name uncultured bacterium. Its description in RNAcentral is "bacterial SSU rRNA". It matches the Rfam family "Bacterial small subunit ribosomal RNA", at positions 50 to 771 of the family's 1533-position model. The record is from RNAcentral.
CGAGCGAGCUUGCCUAGAUGAUUUUAGUGCUUGCACUAAAUGAAACUAGAUACAAGCGAGCGGCGGACGGGUGAGUAACACGUGGGUAACCUGCCCAAGAGACUGGGAUAACACCUGGAAACAGAUGCUAAUACCGGAUAACAACACUAGACGCAUGUCUAGAGUUUGAAAGAUGGUUCUGCUAUCACUCUUGGAUGGACCUGCGGUGCAUUAGCUAGUUGGUAAGGUAACGGCUUACCAAGGCAAUGAUGCAUAGCCGAGUUGAGAGACUGAUCGGCCACAUUGGGACUGAGACACGGCCCAAACUCCUACGGGAGGCAGCAGUAGGGAAUCUUCCACAAUGGACGAAAGUCUGAUGGAGCAACGCCGCGUGAGUGAAGAAGGGUUUCGGCUCGUAAAGCUCUGUUGGUAGUGAAGAAAGAUAGAGGUAGUAACUGGCCUUUAUUUGACGGUAAUUACUUAGAAAGUCACGGCUAACUACGUGCCAGCAGCCGCGGUAAUACGUAGGUGGCAAGCGUUGUCCGGAUUUAUUGGGCGUAAAGCGAGUGCAGGCGGUUCAAUAAGUCUGAUGUGAAAGCCUUCGGCUCAACCGGAGAAUUGCAUCAGAAACUGUUGAACUUGAGUGCAGAAGAGGAGAGUGGAACUCCAUGUGUAGCGGUGGAAUGCGUAGAUAUAUGGAAGAACACCAGUGGCGAAGGCGGCUCUCUGGUCUGCAACUGACGCUGAGGCUCGAAAGCAUGGGUAGCGA